Long non-coding RNA from Biomphalaria glabrata, 348 nucleotides. RefSeq lists it as uncharacterized. The record is from RefSeq and is a predicted model, not a curated record. Lineage: Eukaryota; Metazoa; Mollusca; Gastropoda; Planorbidae. The transcript is spliced from 3 exons.
CAUUCAUGGUUUCAAAUAAAAGUUAGUAGCCUGUGGUUUUCCUUGGUAAAUUCAAUGGACCUCAUGCUACACCACACAGACAAGUGGCAAAAAGUGCGUUGUCACGUUUGGAACCAUUACAAAGGUCAGGGACUUCUAGCCUUGUCUCCGGUGGGGCUUUAAUGGCUAUAACAGUUUGCUCACGCAAAGAAUUCAAGCUUCUAAUAUCCUGGUUAGGUGCCUAUUGAAAUGUUACCUGAGUGCAAGUCUACGCUUGCUGUGCUGAUCUGUGUGACCUGUGGUAUGGACGGCUCUCCUGUGGUGGUGAAUGUGUUGGCAGCUCCCCUACACACAAUAGUUAAAUAAAUG